RNAcentral lists this long non-coding RNA (1068 nucleotides) under Carica papaya (papaya). RNAcentral describes it as "long non-coding RNA (CPAP_LNC008933)". The record is from RNAcentral. Lineage: Eukaryota; Viridiplantae; Streptophyta; Magnoliopsida; Brassicales; Caricaceae.
UUCAUACAAUAUAUAAAAUAAAAUAAUAUUUAUAAUCAAAAAAAUAUCAAACAAAACAUGUCAAUCAAAAUAUAUAACAAAAUAGAAUUCAUCACACGAAACAUAUUUUAAUUCUCACUCUUAUAACCUAAUUCUUAUUCUUAUUUUAAAUCAAACUUACACUCGAAAUAUUACGUCUAAAGUUUCAUCGUGCGAUAUCGUUUAUAUCGUUAUCAAAGAGAGACGAAAUUGAUCCCCCAAUCGCAUGGAUAGCACACAUAUAAAUUUCACAAUGAUCACAGUAGUUACGUUUGUUAGAUGACUCAUACUCACAAAUACAUAUUCAUGUUUGGACUAAAUUUUAAACUCUAUCCAUGUGUAGGUUCACCAUCAUAUUUGAUCGCCACCUUACAUUUUUCUUUCUUAAUUUAAUUUAAUUUUUUUGGUCUUUCUUUUUUUUCUUUUCUUCUCUUUCUCUUUCUCUUUUCUUUUUUUUUUUUUUCUUUCCUUCUUUCUUUUUCUUUUCUUCUUCCCCUUCUUCCCCCCUUUCCGUCGCGUCUCACCUCUUUGACUGCCGCUAACUCCUCCUCACGUGGCCAAGGCUCCUCCCCUUACUCUACUCUCUAGGCCCCGAUCCUCACUCAGCUCGGCUUCCUCUCUCACCCACUCGAACUCAGCUCUCUUCCUCUCUUUCUUUUUUCUCUUUUUUUUUUUUUUUUUUUUUUACUUCUGCUAUUUCAUUAUAUAUAUAUAUUUCCACUUGGUUUGUUUUCCUUCUCUCUACAUUCUUUUUUUUUUCCUAAUUAAUUAAUAUAUUAUAUAUAUAUAUAUAUAUAUUUUUUGUAUCCAGCUGGGUAUUACAUUUUUAAUUAAUGUAAUUCAAUGAAUAUAAAUAUAUUUACAACAUACAAUUAAUUUUAUUAUUUAUAUACGUACAUGAAAAAAUGAAAUUGGCAUGGAGGUGCAUAUUUAUGCUCAUAGCUAUGCUAGUUAGAGUAAAACUUUUAUAGUUUCUCAAUAUAAUUAAUGAAAAACAACAUGCAUAUAUAUACACACACACACACACACAUGGAAUUCAAUAUAUCAAUG